RNAcentral lists this long non-coding RNA (231 nucleotides) under Lathyrus oleraceus (garden pea). RNAcentral describes it as "Pisum sativum (pea) long non-coding RNA (PSAT_LNC002716)". Lineage: Eukaryota; Viridiplantae; Streptophyta; Magnoliopsida; Fabales; Fabaceae. The record is from RNAcentral.
UAAAAGUUACAGGAAUCACAUGCAUAAGGGAUGCAAUUAUUUCAAAUGGUUAAAUGACGACAUUUUAGAUGAAAGGGAUCUGAAGAUUCAAAGGCAAAAGAAGAAAAUGUGAAAAUUGAAGAAUGAAAUUAGUCAGACUAAAGGACUAUUGAAAGUGUUCAUUGUGGUUGGAAUAUUGAGCUUAGUGUUGAAUGAUGUAUUUGUAACAAUGUAUAUUUAGGUUUGAAUUUU